AUCAUAUUGUCUGAGUACUAUAUAAUAGUUAAAACUUUCAACAACGGAUCUCUGGUUCUGGCAUCGAUGAAGAACGCAGCGAAAUGCGAUAAGUAAUGUGAAUUGCAGAAUUCAGUGAAUCAUCGAAUCUUUGAACGCACAUUGCGCCCUCUGGUAUUCCGGGGGGGCAUGCCUGUUCGAGCGUCAUUACAACCCUCAAGCUCUGCUUGGUAUUAAGCUUCACCUGAAAAAGGCGGGCUCUAAAAUCAGUGGCGGUGCCAUUCGGCUUCAAGCGUAGUAAUUUUUCUCGCUUUGGAUGACCGGUUGCGUGCCUGCCAUAACCCAAAAUUUUAUCAAAGGUUGACCUCGGAUCAGGUAGGGAUACCCGCUGAACUUAA
This 377-nucleotide ribosomal RNA is filed under the name uncultured fungus. RNAcentral's name for it is "eukaryotic LSU rRNA". The stretch from base 33 to 186 matches the Rfam family "5.8S ribosomal RNA". Lineage: Eukaryota; Fungi. The record is from RNAcentral.